CCGUAUGAUAAGAACUUUAAGUCUC
RNAcentral lists this non-coding RNA (25 nucleotides) under Mus musculus (house mouse). The record is from RNAcentral. Lineage: Eukaryota; Metazoa; Chordata; Mammalia; Rodentia; Muridae.